CCGGCACGGGUGAGUAACACGUAUCCAACCUGCCGUCUACUCUUGGACAGCCUUCUGAAGGAAGAUUAAUACAAGAUGGCAUCAUGAGUCCGCAUGUUCACAUGAUUAAAGGUAUUCCGGUAGACGAUGGGGAUGCGUUCCAUUAGAUAGUAGGCGGGGUAACGGCCCACCUAGUCUUCGAUGGAUAGGGGUUCUGAGGGGAAGGUCCCCCACAUUGGAACUGAGACACGGUCCAA
This 236-nucleotide ribosomal RNA is filed under the name uncultured bacterium. RNAcentral describes it as "partial 16S ribosomal RNA". It matches the Rfam family "Bacterial small subunit ribosomal RNA", at positions 100 to 334 of the family's 1533-position model. The record is from RNAcentral.